RNAcentral lists this long non-coding RNA (5903 nucleotides) under Bemisia tabaci. Its description in RNAcentral is "lncRNA ENSSSA2NGG012375". The record is from RNAcentral. Lineage: Eukaryota; Metazoa; Arthropoda; Insecta; Hemiptera; Aleyrodidae.
UAUUUUCCUUUUCCCUACAUGCAGAUCCUUUCACAUGAGCCAUUUCAUGAAAAUGAAAACUGAUUUAAAAAUCGUGAUAAGUCAUUGUAAUCGUAUGUUUCCAGUUUACCAUACAACAGCAAGCCAGAAUAUCCGACAACAAAAAGCGGGAAGUGUGUGACAACGCCAGCACCAGGGAAAGGGACAUGGAGCGCUCGCAUGAAUAGCAAAGAUAAAUCCUCUCAUCAUAGAAUGGCAGCAAACAAACGAAAUGAAACUCCAAAAAUACCUCAAAUGUUACUAAGUCAUCAUUUCGACAUUGAUUCAAUGCUAGAUGACAAUAAUUCAAGUGAUGAGGAAAGCACCACCAUUGACACUCACCAUGCUCAAACCAUUCGAAAACAAUUAGAAGCUCUAGAAACAAUGUAUUCUGAGGUAUUAAAGUUGCUCGGAGUUCGGAAAAAUGCGAGCCAUCACUACCAGCCCUCUGACCCUCGCAUUCAUCGCAGGCGACUGCAUGGAAGCAUGUCAUCUUUGCCCUCCUCAGUCAGUAGCCGACCAAUCAGAGACAAGCACAGACGAACUGAUGAACGUAAAAAAGUUAAAGAUAUACGGGGGAUCAACAAGCGAUUCCAGAGAUUGGAAUCUCACGUUGUUACUUUGGCACGUUCAGUGGCUCAUCUUUCCUCGGAAAUGCGGACCCAGCACAUAAUGAUCCAGGAAAUGGAGGUGAUCCGAGGAGAGUUGGCAGCCUUGAGAACACAAACUAAUAUGCUAGCAAUUCGGUCUCAUUCUACUGCACCGUGCCAAGCCCCAGCUCCAAACACUGCAUCAGAGCAGGUCAACUCAAGCCCAGGAAAAGUCAAGAAAUUAACAAAAUUCUUUGGCGAGGAGCCUCCACUGAUGAAGCUGUUUUUGGAGAAAUUAGGCUAUGAGAAAUACGCAAAAGUCUUUGAAAAAGAGCGGAUUGGCUUUGUUGAGCUACCAUACUUGACGGAAGAACGACUCCAUAAACUCGGAAUCCCUCUUGGGCCACGCUUACGGAUCAUGCAAGAGGCACAGAUGGGAUUCCCUACUUUUGAGAACACGCUCUGCGUUAUUUAAAACAAUAUCAGUAAUGGUCAAAAAAUUAGAGAGCCAACAGAUACACGAUUAAAGUCGACUUCAGGCAAAAGUACAAGAGCUUUGUGUAUUUAUAAAGGGUACACUUGGGUUUGUGUUCAGACUCUUCUAGGGACUCCUGAAGAAUUUCUCCUACUCCAAAAGAUUCUGAAAGGCCUUUACUGAAGCAAUUUUUUUCCCUGGUAAUUUUGCUCAGGUGUUGUAACUCAAAGAAUACAGUAAGUAUACUUGAUUCAUGUAAAUGUGUACACAAAACAAAAAAUUGGAUGCCUAGUUUUUCUUUGUAAAUAAUUCCUUAUUUCUCUUUAAAUUUCUAUAGAUUUUUACAGACAACUUAGGAUAGUCAAAACUGUGAUACAAAUGCAAUGAAUGAGUUUGAAAACCAAUGUAAAUACUUCAAUUCAAGUAAGAUAUAUUGGGUUCUGUGCUUUGAACAGGACUGACCAUGUAAAUCCCAUCAAAUUCUACGGACAAAAUACUGUAUGUUUUGUACAUUCACUGUAUUUAUUAUUUUAUUUAAAAGCACCUAGAUAAUAAGUUUGUGACAGUUGGUUAUUACUUAUAGCAUCCUGAGUUCAAAUUUCUAAUAAAUCAGUUUUUUUUAAAAAAAAAAAAAAAAUUUAGAAGUUCUGUUUUCUAUUCCCAUAUUCUAAGCCCCUGGUCAUCUUGAUGCAAUAUUUUUUUCUUUUUUAAGUUGCAGCAAGAAACGAGAAUCAACCAAAUUACCAAUAGUUGGCCCUUAGUCUGCCAGUCCUUAAUCUUAUUAUGCUCUGAUCCCUAAAUCAUAUUUUAUAAACCGCCUCUUACUGCAAUGAGGACUUGGGUCGGAAUUUUCAGAUGCAAUACUUUGACUGGAAACCUCCUUAAGGAUUCCUCAUGUGAAUUGGACUUUCUCUACGGUUCCGUUCCUAAACAGUUGUAAUUCAAGUCAAGGAAGUUUCCAAAGGUGUCUUUAAAUUUUGGCCUUGAUCAAGCUGUUUGACCUAGCCUCUGAGGCAAUUUUUCUCAUGAACAGCUUGAGAAAGUGAAUUUUAAGCAAAAGUUGUAAUGUAGUCACAGAAACUAGGCGUUUUAGAUAGAUCUUAUUAUUGUUUGCUAUUCUAUGAGCUCAAACCAUUAAACUGCAUUCUGUGACUAACGCAACAGGCCGCCUCAGAAGAAAGUUUUCGUUUUCAACUCUUGAAUGAAGAAAACAGUGCAAAUUGUAGUUGUAAAAAAGGGAUUAAAAUACAUGCAAUGUAAAACAAAAAUUCUAGAUAUGAGUGUUCGAUAUUUUUAAUUUAAAUUGUUAAGUUCAAACAGUAUCAAUUCACAAUAAAAACCUCCUGAAAUAGAAAAAAAAAGUGCACUUACAAAAUUUGUAACUAUUCACACACUGUGUCUUCUUCCACUUAACAUCAGUGAUCAAAAUAGAGAAAAGCAGAAAAUUUACGAUUUACACAAAGGAUGACAGUGAUUUUCAGCUGCACAGCACCUGCUCAAAAGCUCUGAAUGAAAAUAAUGAUAAAAAUAAAUAAAAAGAUGUUUAAGCGAGAAGAAAUUUAGAGUAUUUACAUACUUGAUGGAGUGAAAACGAAACAAAGUCAUGAAAAUAUACAAAUGAAGAUCUUAGAAUGACAUUUAUUUCUUUAAAAUUAUGAUACAUUAGGUAAGUAAAAAUUUUGAUUCAUGACUCCAAAAGGCCAAGUGGCCGAACUCCAUUUUGAGGACCAAUAUUUUGGUUUGAAAUGUGACCUCAUCAUCGAAUGUACCUCAAGUGAUCAAAAUAUACUUAAAAUACAAUAGUAAUGUGAACACAAGGGACAAGUACAAAAUCUAAUAAUGAACAAUUUUACAUAAACUUUCUAGCAAUGGGAAAGUUUAGACAUACUAAUAGAUUCAUAGAGAAAAAGAUAGACUUAAAAAGGAUGACAAUACUGAUUUCAAAAAUCAAAAUUAAAUGAUUAAAAUCUAAUGAGUCAAUGAUUAAUGAUUGAUUGAUUUAAUGAUUCAAUCUGAUGAUUGAAUUAAAUGUAGAUUUAAAUGAUUAGGGAACAUCAUGCCCUUAUUCCAAAUUCAUGGAGAUCUUUUGUAACUUAACAAAAAUCGAUGCAAAAGUUUUCUUUCUCUUGCUCAAAGGAAAAAAGCAAAAUUUCGAUAAAAAAAGAAGGAAAAACAAUAUUGAAUCUGAUUUGUCUUUCAAUUAAAAAAGGGGUGAACGAAAGUAAAAAGGAUUAAAAAAAUAUUUCUUGCUAGCACAGCAAUAUCAAUACUCUCAUUCUGGACUGAGUUCUUUAGUCAAAUAUAAAAAAAAGGCAACAGUAAGGCAAGUUUUAUGAUACAUACGCACUUUCAUCCACUGUAAAAAAUAAAGAAGGCCUUUUUAAGACACUUAAAAAAAUAAAAGGCACGUGACAAUUGCUUGUUUUAUCAACAAAAGGUAAACAGAAGACACAACAUCAUUUCAAAAUACAAGACAUACGCGUUUAACUUCAAUACAUUUUGGGAGUUAUUUGCCUGGGAAACCUAAUUUUCCAACGCCACGCGUCAAUUUUUAGAGCCGUAAGGGUUUCUGAUAUUAGAUCAAGAUACCUUGCGACAAGAAAAAUUGCAACGAAAAUCAAUCCCUUUUGAGACACCUGUUUGGCGCAGAGCCCCUUAUUUUUGGGCCCAAAAGCCUCAUUUGGUUGAUGGGUGGCUCCCAAUGAAGUUAAAACGCUGCAGGGCUUGCUUCCUUCGAAGUGCUACUUCUCGUCCAAUUUGAAACUAAAGAUUCAAGAUUUUGCAGCAGAAGGGAGGCUUGUUUUCAGAUGGUGCUGAGAAUCAGCACUUUUCCCCGUUUUAAACCCAUGUGAAAUAUUAACAUUUCAUUUCACAAUCUGGUGAACUGUUGUUGGCCAACACUUUCACUUGUCCCUGUAGCAACUCUCAUGGUUAACAGUUGACAGGUGCAUCGACAUUUACCGAAAAAUAAAAUUGGAGGAACUAAAAAUUGCUCUUUAUUUACUGAGAUUAAAUUUUUCUGUCUUGUAUUGCAGAGAAAUGUUUGACAUUCAAGUGACAUCACUAUGCCAAUAUUUAUGAUCAGAGUCAAUAAAAUAAAAUUAAGAUUUCCUUCAAGAUUUUUCCAAAAAAAAAAAAAAAAUUUCUGCACUUGAAAUAUAAUUUAAAUGGACAUGUAAAAUAUACCAAAUUAGAAUGAAAUCGGAGGAAAACAAUAGCUCAGACUUAGACUGACAAUAUCUACGACUGAAGGAUUUACACAGCAAAGGACCCAGCGCAGAACUCAUUUACUCUGAUGGACGAGAGAACCAGUCAGAUACACUACCGACUAGAAACAAGAUCCCAUGUAGAACAGCUUAAAUAGUUGAAGAGCAUGAUAGACAGACGCUGGGUCUUUAGAGGCAUUUGAUACCAUUGAAAAGUCCUUUUUAAACAACUCUUAUUGCAUACCAGGUCUUUUCAUUUGUUAAAAAUAUUAAAAUCAUCAAAAAAUAUACAUCAAUUGCACUAUUAAGUCCUCACUUCUGUGGGUAAAAUGACCUACCACAUAAAAAUACUGAUAAAUUCUCACUACUCAGGGCUGAGCAAUUUUCAUGGGAAGGGGUUCCAAGAGAAAUAAAAAACUUGUAUAGGUAAAUAUUGUAUAAAUAAAUAAAUAAAUUAAUUAAUUACGGCAUAAAAGUAGAAUUAGUUACUACUACUAGAAAAUUGAUGAUAGAGUAGACUCCUCAAUGAAUAUUUUCUUGAUAUUUAUCAUCAAUGAUUAGAAAAAUAUUUCCAUGAAUUUAGUGGUAAGUAUUCAAAAAAGUCUAAAAAAAUAGAGCACUCAAAUCAAACUGAUGACUGCAAUCAUUUGCCCUUUUUAAAAAAAAAAAAAUCUUAAAAUGUUCAAAUUGUAACUAGAAAAAUACUUUUGAAAAUACUGACGGGACAAUUCAAAGCUGAAAAAAAAUUAAUUUUAGGAAGAUAAGUAGGUUAUGUUAAUUAUAUGAAUUCCUGCAAGUUUAAUUGAAGUCUUAAAAAAGGCAAAGGUGGCUAUGUAACCCACAAAGAACUACCGAAUUUCAAUUUUACAAAAAACCAAAAUUACGUAAAUACAAUUUUGAUCUAAUUGAGCAGUUGUUCACUGAGAAUGAACAUUGAAACAUCGUAGGAAUAUACUUUGCGGAGAAUUGUGACAGCAAGCAAUACAAGAAUACAUUUAAGUUUUGCGAUUUUGUGGUGAUAGGCACAGCAAAGACUAGGCACAAUUACAUUUUUACAUUGAUUUUAAUUAAGAAACUCACUUAAUGGUUAUUUUCCCUCUGCAAUGGGAGUGUUCCGAAUCGACGCGACACUUUAAACAAUGCAAUAACUCUUGACUUUUAUAACUCAAAGAAUAUCGAUGAAAAGGAAGGAGUAAACCUUUAAUUUUCAUAUUUUCUAUUAAAGGCUCUAACUAAGAAAGCAGUACCUACUACCUGCAUUUCCUACAAAUUUGACUGCAUCUGUUGAUGCAGUGUUCAGUCUCAAACACUAUUGACUUUCAUCUGAUGGAGAAAUGAGAGACAUAGCUGCAUGCUAAUUAAACUUGCCUUUGACUAGUAGAAACGGGAGAUUCAAAAAUUUACUAUACAGCUAAAUCAAUUAACAAAACCAGUGUUACACUUAAAAGUUACGUCUAAAUACAGUGGCCUAGGUAUGAUAUGCAUCAACAGAUAAAACGGUGAAAGAUAAAGUAAACAUGAUUCACUCACUAGGUUGUGAAUUCGGGAGACUGAUAAAAUCGCUUUCAAUAGUUUUUAGGAAAUUUGAUUCACAGAUAUUGUCACUCUGUAAAA